This 509-nucleotide ribosomal RNA is filed under the name uncultured bacterium. RNAcentral's name for it is "bacterial SSU rRNA". It matches the Rfam family "Bacterial small subunit ribosomal RNA", at positions 28 to 523 of the family's 1533-position model. The record is from RNAcentral.
GACGAACGCUGGCGGCGUGGAUUAGGCAUGCAAGUCGGACGGUAGGGCUUUAUCGUAAGAUAGAGUUUGAGAGUGGCGAACGGGUGAGUAACACGUAGGUUAUCUACCCUCAAGACGGGGACAACCCAGGGAAACUUGGGCUAAUACCGGAUGUGAGCAACUUUUAGUUGUUUGAAAGGUGGCGUAAGCUGUCGCUUGGGGAUGAGCCUGCGUCCUAUUAGUUAGUUGGUGAGGUAACGGCUCACCUAGGCAAUGAUAGGUAGGCGGCCUUAACGGGUGGUCGCCCACACUGGGAUUGAGAUACGGCCCAGACUCCUACGGGAGGCAGCAGUCGAGAAUAGUCUACAAUGGUCGGAAGACUGAUAGUGCGACGCCGCGUGAACGAUGAAUCCCUUCGGGGUGUAAAGUUCUUUUAUAUGUGAGCAGUGCUUCUUAUAUUAACAGUAUGGGGAGAGAGAUAUUAGCAUAUGAAUAAGCAACGGCUAACUCCGUGCCAGCAGCCGCGGUAA